UUCCUGUACUUGGUGUUACUGCGAAGGGGGGACGGAGAAGGCUAUGUUGGCCGGGCGACGGUUGUCCCGGUUUAAGCGUGUAGGCUGGUUUUCCAGGCAAAUCCGGAAAAUCAAGGCUGAGGCGUGAUGACGAGGCACUACGGUGCUGAAGCGACAAAUGCCCUGCUUCCAGGAAAAGCCUCUAAGCAUCAGGUAACAUCAAAUCGUACCCCAAACCGACACAGGUGGUCAGGUAGAGAAUACCAAGGCGCUUGAGAGAACUCGGGUGAAGGAACUAGGCAAAAUGGUGCCGUAACUUCGGGAGAAGGCACGCUGAUAUGUAGGUGAAGCGACUUGCUCGUGGAGCUGAAAUCAGUCGAAGAUACCAGCUGGCUGCAACUGUUUAUUAAAAACACAGCACUGUGCAAACACGAAAGUGGACGUAUACGGUGUGACGCCUGCCCGGUGCCGGAAGGUUAAUUGAUGGGGUUAGCGGUAACGCGAAGCUCUUGAUCGAAGCCCCGGUAAACGGCGGCCGUAACUAUAACGGUCCUAAGGUAGCGAAAUUCCUUGUCGGGUAAGUUCCGACCUGCACGAAUGGCGUAAUGAUGGCCAGGCUGUCUCCACCCGAGACUCAGUGAAAUUGAACUCGCUGUGAAGAUGCAGUGUACCCGCGGCAAGACGGAAAGACCCCGUGAACCUUUACUAUAGCUUGACACUGAACAUUGAGCCUUGAUGUGUAGGAUAGGUGGGAGGCUUUGAAGUGUGGACGCCAGUCUGCAUGGAGCCGACCUUGAAAUACCACCCUUUAAUGUUUGAUGUUCUAACGUGGGCCCCUUACCGGGGUUGCGGACAGUGUCUGGUGGGUAGUUUGACUGGGGCGGUCUCCUCCUAAAGAGUAACGGAGGAGCACGAAGGUUGGCUAAUCCUGGUCGGACAUCAGGAGGUUAGUGCAAUGGCAUAAGCCAGCUUGACUGCGAGCGUGACGGCGCGAGCAGGUGCGAAAGCAGGUCAUAGUGAUCCGGUGGUUCUGAAUGGAAGGGCCAUCGCUCAACGGAUAAAAGGUACUCCGGGGAUAACAGGCUGAUACCGCCCAAGAGUUCAUAUCGACGGCGGUGUUUGGCACCUCGAUGUCGGCUCAUCACAUCCUGGGGCUGAAGUAGGUCCCAAGGGUAUGGCUGUUCGCCAUUUAAAGUGGUACGCGAGCUGGGUUUAGAACGUCGUGAGACAGUUCGGUCCCUAUCUGCCGUGGGCGCUGGAGAACUGAGGGGGGCUGCUCCUAGUACGAGAGGACCGGAGUGGACGCAUCACUGGUGUUCGGGUUGUCAUGCCAAUGGCACUGCCCGGUAGCUAAAUGCGGAAGAGAUAAGUGCUGAAAGCAUCUAAGCACGAAACUUGCCCCGAGAUGAGUUCUCCCUGACUCCUUGAGAGUCCUGAAGGAACGUUGAAGACGACGACGUUGAUAGGCCGGGUGUGUAAGCGCAGCGAUGCGUUGAGCUAACCGGUACUAAUGAACCGUGAGGCUUAACCUUACAACGCCGAAG
This 1523-nucleotide ribosomal RNA is filed under the name Escherichia coli. RNAcentral's name for it is "partial 23S ribosomal RNA". It matches the Rfam family "Bacterial large subunit ribosomal RNA", at positions 1436 to 2925 of the family's 2925-position model. The record is from RNAcentral. Lineage: Bacteria; Pseudomonadati; Pseudomonadota; Gammaproteobacteria; Enterobacterales; Enterobacteriaceae.